AUUGAACGCUGGCGGCAUGCUUUACACAUGCAAGUCGGACGGCAGCACAGAGAAGCUUGCUUCUUGGGUGGCGAGUGGCGAACGGGUGAGUAAUAUAUCGGAACGUACCGAGUAAUGGGGGAUAACUAAUCGAAAGAUUAGCUAAUACCGCAUAUUCUCUGAGGAGGAAAGCAGGGGACCUUCGGGCCUUGCGUUAUUCGGGCGGCCGAUAUCUGAUUAGCUAGUUGGUGGGGUAAAGGCCUACCAAGGCGACGAUCAGUAGCGGGUCUGAGAGGAUGAUCCGCCACACUGGGACUGAGACACGGCCCAGACUCCUACGGGAGGCAGCAGUGGGGAAUUUUGGACAAUGGGCGCAAGCCUGAUCCAGCCAUGCCGCGUGUCUGAAGAAGGCCUUCGGGUUGUAAAGGACUUUUGUCAGGGAAGAAAAGGCUGUUGCUAAUAUCAAUAGCUGAUGACGGUACCUGAAGAAUAAGCACCGGCUAACUACGUG
This 490-nucleotide ribosomal RNA is filed under the name uncultured bacterium. RNAcentral describes it as "partial 16S ribosomal RNA". It matches the Rfam family "Bacterial small subunit ribosomal RNA", at positions 30 to 507 of the family's 1533-position model. The record is from RNAcentral.